Molecule: ribosomal RNA, 164 nt
Filed under: uncultured bacterium
Lineage: Bacteria
Description: partial 16S ribosomal RNA
Rfam family: Bacterial small subunit ribosomal RNA
Source: RNAcentral
UAGGGAAUCUUCCACAAUGGACGAAAGUCUGAUGGAGCAACGCCGCGUGAGUGAAGAAGGGUUUCGGCUCGUAAAACUCUGUUGUUAAAGAAGAACAUAUCUGAGAGUAACUGUUCAGGUAUUGACGGUAUUUAACCAGAAAGCCACGGCUAAUUACGUGCCAG